Molecule: long non-coding RNA, 2576 nt
Organism: Bombina bombina (fire-bellied toad)
Lineage: Eukaryota; Metazoa; Chordata; Amphibia; Anura; Bombinatoridae
Exons: 2
Source: RefSeq, a predicted model, not a curated record
CUCUCUGAGUACAUAAUGAUAUUCAUUACUUAUGUUCUCUAAUUGUUCAGGGAACUCUGUAGUGAGAUUAAAUUACUCCAACUUCUGUAUCAUCUAAAGGGGUUCAAGUGAAUCCAUACUUUUAUUUUCUCCUUGUUUCAAUAGCUGCUUUUUCCUUUUGAAACCACCACCUAUGCAGAAAAUGUUCAAUCCUGUAGCAUUAGUUAUAGAAUAGCUAUGGAACUGUGAGGCAGCAACAGAGAUCAACUUCCCAGUGGGGGUGGGGAGGAAAAGAGAGUUGCCCAUUUAAAAGGGUUUUCAUGCAGCUGCUUUGAAUUUAAUGAUUAUCAACUGCUUCUUUGAGUACAUUGUUAUUAACCUGGGAUAUAUGUUCAUAACUAGAAUGUUCUGUAGUAUCAGUGGUGUUCUGGAUACAUAUUAGUGUCAAUGCUUCUGGCUAUGUGUUUACUGUGUGUUCAUACUGUACAUAAUUGGGAUUUUAAAUAGUAUUAGUAUGAAUGAUGCUAUGUUUAAUUAGAUAAUAAUGACAUCAGCUGAGGAGGCUGUGAGUUAGGAGCAUAAUAAGGAUCCUGUUCAAAAUAUAGUUUAUAAUCUGAACUAAAUAACUACCUUUGCUAUAAAACAAGUAUGGGUAAAAAAGUAAAUUUUUUUUUUUAUACAGUGUCAGUGAGCAGCGUUCCAAUGCUAACCCCUUCAUGCCGAGAGCAAAUGUUUAAAUGUAGCUCUUUCUUGUGGAUGAUAGAGACAUGGCUUUAGGUUUUAAGAAGUAUAGAUAUGGAGGUUCAGCCUUGUAUCUGCAGAGCUGUUAGUUGACAAUGUAUUGGGGAAUGAGGACAGAGAGUAAGUAGAUGGUUUUUUUUUUUUUUUUUGUAUUAAGCGGCAGACUGACCUACCAGGCAAUUAAUCACAGACUGUGGGCCAGCGGUUGGUGGGAGGAGCCUGCCCAAACCGCUUGAGAUGAAAUAGAAAUUUGCCUUUCUGGUUCACAUUGAUCUGACAGUUACCAUUCAAACAUGGUUGCUUUUAGAUGUCAAUGCAGAUGUGCUGCUAUUGCGUGCAUGCAUAUUGGCAGUGUUUACUGGCAGCAUUCAUCUUUGAGACAAGCCUGGGCCCUUAACUUUUUUAUUUUGACUGGGAGCCACGGAUUGUAUUAUUAAAGGAACAUGAAACCCCAGAUUUUUUUUAAAUAAUUCAGAUUUAGCAUAUCAUUUUAAACACAUUUUUUAUUUACUUCUAUUAUGAACUUUGAUUCAUUCUCUUGGUAUCCUUUUGUUGUAAGAAGCAGCAAUGCACUACUGGGAGUUAGCUGAACAGGAAAGAAGGGAACAAGGGUUGCUUCUCACUUGCCCCUGACUAGAGUGUAACAUCUCAGCCCCUGCUCUCCACUUGCACGACCUCUCCCUGCAGGGUGGCAGCAAUGAAACUCUAGCGGUCCUGUCUCUACCUGUCCAGCACCCACAGCGUCUUCAUGAUGCCAGUCUCUGGAUCUACCUGAAUGUCCAGAAGAACCGGGGACUCGCCCACCAUCCUCCGACAAAAAUAAUCCUCCCCCCCCAGAUUAUAGAGCAGCAGCAAAACUGCAUAGGGCAUAAGAGCUUUCACAGUCAUCAUCGGCAACUUAUUCCUGCACCCCAGCACAUGCAGGUAUCUGCUGAACACACCUCUCUUCCAGCUGAUCCCUAUCUACGCAGACACCUGCAGGAUCGCAUAUGUACAGAUGCCUCCUGCACUAUACAGGUGAUGUGAUGUUCUGAACCUUAAGCUGUGGGUGCUUGGCAGGGAGAGAUGGAAGUAUUACAGCCAGGGAGAGGUUGUGUAAGUGGAGAUCAUCCCCAGACCUGUUCAGCACUGCAGCGUAAGGUUAAGGACAUCACUGGAUGCCAUCACCAUAUCAUGUGUAUACUGUAGGAGGUAUCUGUACAUAUGCGAUCCUGCAGGUACCUGCUUAGACAGGGAUUGGCUAGAAAGGAGGCGUGUUCAGCAUCUACUUGUUUACAAAAAGGGUGCUUGAUUCAUGGAAUAAACUGCCACAAGAGGUGGCAAUGACAAACACUGAGGGGGACUUCAAAAAUGCCUGGGAUAAGCAUAAGGUUAUCCUAUGAACUAGAUAAGUUUAUACUUUUAGGAAAUAUUGAGCAGACUUGUUGGGCCUAUGGUUCUUACCUGCUUUCAACAUCUAUAUUUUUUUGUUUAAUUUAUCUGUUGAGCCAAUGACAUGAGACAUACAUUCAGCUAGCUCACAGUUGUGUAUCAAUGCUCCUGAGUCUACCCAGGUAUAUACUGUAUGCUUUUCAAGAAAGGGUUCAAAGAAAACAAAGCAGUUUUGAUACUAGAUGUAAAUGGAAAAGUUGUUUAAAAUUUGUAAUUUCUAUCUGAACCAUGAAAGUUUAAUUUUGAUUCUAUUGUCCAUUUAAUGCGGGAUGACAAUAUUCAGUAAUUAAGGUUGUCAAGAUUUGGUUAUAGAGGAGAUGCGAAAUUUGGAAAUAAAGAUAAUUCCAUUGAAGUGGGCUUGGUUACUAAAUGUAAUUGUGGCGUGAAAUUUAAGUUGUCUAAUAAAGUAUAUGGCUGUGUGUGUA